UCUUGCUUGAUAAAAAAAGGGUUCCUGGAAAAUGCAGGAUGUGAACCUAUGUGAAUGGCUGGCAAGGAUGCAGAGCUUAUUCCAGGGAUUGGUUUAGACUUGACCAUGUGACGUAGCUCUGACCAAUCAUACUGAGGAGAAGUCUGCGGGGAUGGCCUUUUCUUCUUCUGGACAUGGUUGUAUCCAGAUGUAAAGUCUGGCACUGGGACAGUCACCUGACUGUCAAGGAGGGGGAGGCUAGCCCAAAAAUGAAGCCUGCUCACCAGGGUGACAGAGCAGCAAGAUGGAAAGAACUUGGACCUUGAGCAUGUCAUCGAGCCAUGGAAUUAUCCAACCCUGGAUCUGUCCUAUUCUUGGACUUCUAGAUGUAGGAUAAUAAAUGUACUUGAUGUUUCAGCCAGA
Molecule: non-coding RNA, 402 nt
Organism: Microcebus murinus (gray mouse lemur)
Lineage: Eukaryota; Metazoa; Chordata; Mammalia; Primates; Cheirogaleidae
Source: RefSeq, a predicted model, not a curated record